GUAUCCCGAGUACGGCGGGGCACGUGAAACCCUGUCUGAAUCUACCGGGACCAUCCGGUAAGGCUAAAUACUAGUCAGUGACCGAUAGUGAACGAGUACAGUGAUGGAAAGGCGAAAAGAACAGUGAGAAGCUGAGUGAAAUAGACCCUAAAACCGUUAGCUUACAAUCAGUUAGAGCCCUAUUGAUAGGGUGAUAGCGUGCCUGUUGAAGAAUGAGCCGGCGAGUUAUUUUAUGUUGCGAGGUUAAGGAGUUGAUAUCCGGAGCCACAGCGAAAGCGAGUGUGAAUAGCGCGUUAAGUAACAUGAAAUAGACCCGAACCUUGGCGAUCUAACCUUGACCAGGAUGAAGCGUAGGUAACACUACGUGGAGGUCCGAACCAACCGAUGUUGAAAAAUCGGUGGAUGAGUUGAGGUUAGGGGUGAAAUGCCAAUCGAGCCAAGAGCUAGCUGGUUCUCCCCGAAAUGCGUUUAGGCACAGCGUUGGAUUUAUCUUACCGGAGGUAGAGCACUAGUCUGGUGCGGGCGGCGAAAUGCCGUACCAAAUCAUGUUAAACUCCGAAUACCGGUAAUGUUACUAUCCAGCAGUGAGACUGCGAGUGCUAAGAUCCGUGGUCAAGAGGGAAACAGCCCAGAACGCCAGUUAAGGUCCCCAAUAUAUGCUAAGUGGUUAAGGAGGUAGAGUUGCUCAGACAACUAGGAGGUUGGCUUAGAAGCAGCCAUUCCUUGAAAGAGUGCGUAAUAGCUCACUAGUCAAGCGACUCCGCGCCGAAAAUACACCGGGACUAAAGCAUAUAACCGAAACUGCGUCAUAUAGUUUACUAUAUGGGUAGGGGAGCGUACUGUUGUAGGACGAAGUCAGAUCGAAAGGACUGAUGGACGAAGCAGUAGUGAGAAUGUCGGCAUAAGUAGCGAAAACAUUGGUGAGAAUCCAAUGCACCGUAAACCUAAGGUUUCCCACGGCAGGCUCGUCCGCGUGGGGUUAGUCGGACCCUAAGGCGAGGCCGAAAGGCGUAGUCGAUGGACAUCAGGUUGAUAUUCCUGAACUAACGAAUAAUCGUUUGAAAGGCGGAGGGACGCAGUAGGAUAAACAAGCGGCCGACUGGACGUGGCCGUAAAGAUGUGUAGGUAGAUUAUGUAGGAAAAUCCGCAUAAUCGUUAUAAACUGAGACAUCGAGUAGGACUCUCUACGGAGGGGAAGUUGUUGACUCCACACUGCCAAGAAAAUCUUCGCACUUGAGAUUAUAAGUUAUCCGUACCGUAAACCGCCACAGGUAGGUUGGUAGAGAAUACUAAGGUGCGCGAGACAACUCUCGCUAAGGAACUCGGCAAAAUCACCUCGUAACUUCGGGAGAAGAGGUACCCUGGUAGCGUGAAGCGAUUUACUCGUGGAGCGUGAUAGGGUCGCAGUGAAUAGGCCCAUGCGACUGUUUACCAAAAACACAGGUCUCUGCUAAGUCGAUCAAGACGAAGUAUAGGGGCUGACGCCUGCCCGGUGUCGGAAGGUUACGUGGAAGGGUUAGACUUCGGUCGAAGCUCUGAAACUAAGCCCCGAUGAACGGCGGCCGUAACUAUAACGGUCCUAAGGUAGCGAAAUUCCUUGUCAGGUA
This 1607-nucleotide ribosomal RNA is filed under the name mouse gut metagenome. RNAcentral describes it as "bacterial LSU rRNA". It matches the Rfam family "Bacterial large subunit ribosomal RNA", at positions 403 to 1978 of the family's 2925-position model. The record is from RNAcentral.